This 3831-nucleotide long non-coding RNA is filed under the name Panax ginseng (ginseng). Its description in RNAcentral is "long non-coding RNA (PGIN_LNC008466)". Lineage: Eukaryota; Viridiplantae; Streptophyta; Magnoliopsida; Apiales; Araliaceae. The record is from RNAcentral.
ACAACACUAUGGAGAUUGUACUGCUGUGUUCAAGCAGUAGAGAAUGGUAGGAAACUCCCGUGUGUAGAUUGACUCAACAGAGCUGAAUCCUUUUGUGUUACUGCACUGUCAGUUUUGUUUUACUUUCAAGGGUUAAGUUCAGAUGACCACCUGGGGUUUGGGCGGUUUUCCACUUAACCACCUGUAGUUAGUAAAGCUACAUUUAAACACCUGACUUUUUGAGUUAAAGUGAAAACGUUACAUUUUCCAUCCAAAUUAACUGUGCGUGCAUGUCAGACGCCAAAAGCGCGUGAAACGGUAAUUUUUUUUUGUUAAAUAUCCGAAAUACCCCUCUUGGCUUUUAUCAUUUUGUUCUACCCAUUUCACCUCUUUCUCCAUUUCUUCUUCCCAUUCAGCUCAUCCCAUUCAUUAAUGCAAACCCAAUUCAGAACUACAAAAAUAUCACCAAUUUUCAGAUAUAAAGACCUAAAAAAUCAUCACUACUCCCCUAAUUCAAAACCCAAACCCGACCAAUUGAAUCUAGAAGAACAAUUACAGGAACAAGAAGGAAUUUCUAUUGAGAUUGAAGAUGGAAAAGGAUCUUCUCUCUCCACCACUGCCGAAAAUCUGGUUCAACUGCUCCUGUUCUUUUUUGGUCGCCGAAAAUUAAGUUUUUUCGCCCACACGCUUGACCAGCUCCGCCUCCUGCCACCAAGUAGCACCAGCAGUCUCAGGGGGUUUAUGACCGAGUCGACUCGGGAUUGACUCGUUCUUGGGUAAGCCUUCGUUUGGGUCGUGUAGCAAUUUGGGGCACUGAAUUUUGGGGCUUGUUUGGAGAACAAAUGGGCACUGAAUUUGUUUUAAUUUUCGAGGCGUGUUGUCCUACCCCUUUUGAUUAGUAAGAGUUCUCUUCUGUUUCAGAAUGCGACAUAGUGGGUUUGGAUGAAAUGCAUCUCUCAUGGUAGACUUAGGAUUGAGGUAUUUUGGGGGUAUCUAUUUGAUUACACUCACUGAAACUGAGUUGAAGAUAUUUGAAGUUUUGUAUGUUAAAGUAAAUGUGUUCAAUCUAGAUCUCCAGUGCAUUAGUUUGAUUGUUUCAUGUGAAGAUGUAUAUCCUGCUUGUUUCUCGGUCUCAUACUCUAAUCUUUCUGUCUCCUCGGUCCUUAUUUUCUGCUUAUGGUUUGGUAGUUGAGUUGAGCUCCUUGGAGGCUUGACAAUCUGAUAUUAGAUCAAUCAAAUCUGAUGCCUUCUUCCUUUGUAGUCAUCUAAUCUCUGACCUUCUCUUCUGAUCUUCUUUUUUCGUUUCUCUCUCAAUUUCUUGUUUAGUCCUAAAUCUAUAAACUGCACACCAUGUGUUUGCUGAAUUGUUUCAGUCAAAACACUCUUCUUUUCUUCUCAAAAACUCAUUAUCAAUCUUCUCCUCUUAAUCUCCGGUCCAUUCUCUCUAGAUCUAAACUUCUACUCCAUUUUCUCACUCAAAAAACUAAAUAAAACUCACUUCAGCUCAUUUACUCCACUAAGUUGACAUCCUUAAUUCAUUUCUAAGACUCAGAAACUCAUUUUUUUCAGAAGUUUCUAAUUCUUUCUCACACUUCUAAUCACGGCUGGAUCAUCGUCAAAAAAUUAAGGGAACCUCUUUCAACAGGACUUUCUAAGUUUCAGAGACUACACUAAUGAUAAGCUCCAGAGUUUGGAUGAAAAAUGGAUGUGUUUAUGGAGCAUGUCACAAGCUUGGACAAAGUUCUUNNNNNNNNNNNNNNNNNNNNNNNNNNNNNNNNNNNNNNNNNNNNNNNNNNNNNNNNNNNNNNNNNNNNNNNNNNNNNNNNNNNNNNNNNNNNNNNNNNNNCCUCCUGAAACUUGUUUUAGGUCAAGUCUGAAUGUUUAAUUUUUUCCCUCCAGCUAGGAUGCAUGAAGCAGAAGCUUGAAGAACUUCUUGAUACCGUAAUGUCCAAUUACAGGUUCAUUGUGUUCCCUCUUAUGCUAUAUGAGGUGAAGGUAGAGUUAGUUAUUGCUAUGUUACUUUAGUACCUAUCAACUAAAAUGGCAUUUAAUGUAAUGCAUGUUUUUGUUUUAUAACAUUUGGUAUUUUGAUUUAAAGUGUUGGUUGGUAAAAGUUGGCUUUUAUGUUCCUGCUUUCCACAAAUAAAGAUUCAUGUAGCAUGUCUGUUUAUAGAACAUAUUGUUAGUUUUUAUGUGAUGUUUUUUCCUACUUUUUGAUUUUUUGCACAUUAACUGUGUGUUGAAGCUAGACAUUGUAUGGAAGAUGAUUAGUUGAGGGGUCUUGCCUGCAUAUCAUGAACCUGGUCAUUUUUGGGAGGUUUAAAAUCUUUUAAGAUAUAUGGACUGUAAAUGUUAAGGGGGGUGAGAGGUAAAGCAUGAUGGUGACAGACUGAAUAGAAUUUUUCCCGAGCAGUCUAGCAAAGUACAAAUACAUAGAGAAGACAUAUUAUGAAAAUGGAUUCAGAGGUGUAGACAAAUUAAGUUUUGCGGGUGUACUAUCAUAAAAUGGACGAGGUAAUAUCAAAAUCAAUGUGAAUAUUUAGUUUGGCGUGAAUGUUUCAGAAGUAGGGAUUUAAACAGUCUCUCCUCUUGCACAGUGGGUUGGGUCAAAGCUAAUGCAGGUCUGUAACCUAAACUAAUUUUAUACAACCUGGAAUAAAACCUCGAGGGUCAGUUUUAUCCGGAUAGUUUUAGGUAGAAAAAAUACUCUUAUAAAUUUCUACAGGGAUAGAUUCAUAUGGAUAGGUUUCCAACUUUCCUUACCUUCUUUGUUUUUAUUGGGAUAAGAUGAGUUAGAAUGUGUAAGAGAACUUUUGACAUUUUUUUUUUUGCUAAUUAACUUUUGACAUUUCCCUUGGAAGAGCUCUAUUAAUACUAUAAAAGGGCAUAUGAUAGUCCAUAUAGAGCCAAAGAGUUAUCCCAUGAAGAUUGGAUGACUAUCUCUUCCUUUCUCCCUACCCUACCCCCCCCAAAAAAAAAGGUCCACAAGGACAUAGGUACUACCAUCCCCCCCUCCUCCUCCUAUACCCUUGAUGAUACCAUGUAGUGUUGAGAAGCUCAGAUCAAAUUCAAUUGUGUUGCUUGGUAUGGCAUUCUGUGGAUCCUCCACCUGAAUUUUUCUUGAAUAUUUGACGCGAGAAUCCUUGAUAUUCAUCGGCAGGUUGAUGACAAUUGCUGAGAAGCAACAACUUCAAAUUUUGAUUCAGAAGCUGCCUCCGAGAAAUCUCGAUCGUGUUGUGGAAAUAAUCCAACAUGGCAAUCCUUCAGCAAAGCAUUUAUUGGAUAAUGUUUUUGUUGAUUUAGAAAGAGUAGUAAGUACAGACACUCCUCCCUUACACGGUCUCAUUUGUUUUUUUACUGGUCAAUUUGCAAAAUCAUGUAAUCUAUUAUUAUUUUUUUGAUUAAUAUAAUAUUUAAUAUUUUAAACUACUUAAUUAUUAUCAAGUGCAAAAUUGUUAUUUCAAAAAUUAAAAUAAGUUGAUAUCACAAUUUUAAUUUUAGGAUUUAGCGAUCAAAGUCGAAUGAGACUUGUUUUUGUGGGAUGGGGGGAUUUAUAAUAUCCUGAACCUUACUAAUCCCAUUGUUGUUUGUUUUGUAGGAUAACACAACACUAUGGAGAUUGUACUGCUGUGUUCAAGCAGUAGAGAAUGGUAGGAAACUCCCGUGUGUAGAUUGACUCAACAGAGCUGAAUCCUUUUGUGUUACUGCACUGUCAGUUUUGUUUUACUUUCAAGGGUUAAGUUCAGAUGACCACCUGGGGUUUGGGCGGUUUUCCACUUAACCACCUGUAGUUAGUAAAGCUACAUUUAAACACCUGACUUUUUGAGUUAAAGUGAAAACGUUACAUUUUCC